UACGUAGGGGACGAGCGUUGUCCGGAAUUACUGGGCGUAAAGGGCGCGCAGGCGGUAUAUCAAGUCAGCUGUCAAAGACUGGGGCUCAACCCUGGUAUGCGGUUGAAACUGAUAUGCUGGAGUGCUGUAGAGGCAAGUGGAAUUCCCAGUGUAGCGGUGAAAUGCGUAGAUAUUGGGAAGAACACCGGUGGCGAAGGCGACUUGCUGGGCAGCAACUGACGCCGAGGCGCGAAAGCCAGGGGAGCAAACGGGAUUAGAUA
This 260-nucleotide ribosomal RNA is filed under the name uncultured prokaryote. RNAcentral's name for it is "partial 16S ribosomal RNA". It matches the Rfam family "Bacterial small subunit ribosomal RNA", at positions 524 to 784 of the family's 1533-position model. The record is from RNAcentral.